Molecule: non-coding RNA, 30 nt
Filed under: Mus musculus (house mouse)
Lineage: Eukaryota; Metazoa; Chordata; Mammalia; Rodentia; Muridae
Source: RNAcentral
CUGAUCUUUUAAGUAUUAGUGAUUUUAGUG